Molecule: ribosomal RNA, 421 nt
Filed under: uncultured bacterium
Lineage: Bacteria
Description: bacterial SSU rRNA
Rfam family: Bacterial small subunit ribosomal RNA
Source: RNAcentral
GGGCCCGCACAAGCGGAGGAGCAUGUGGUUUAAUUCGAUGAUACGCGAGGAACCUUACCAAGGCUUAAAUGUAAUAUGACCGGUUGAGAGAUCAACCUUUUUUCGAACAGAUUACAAGGUGCUGCAUGGUUGUCGUCAGCUCGUGCCGUGAGGUGUCGGGUUAAGUCCCAUAACGAGCGCAACCCCUAUUUUUAGUUACCAGCGAGUAAUGUCGGGAACUCUAGAAAAACUGCCUGUGCAAACAGAGAGGAAGGUGGGGAUGACGUCAAAUCAUCACGGCCCUUAUGUCUUGGGCUACACACGUGCUACAAUGGUUACUACAAUGUGAUGCCAUCUGGUGACAGAGAGCUAAUCAAUAAAGGUAAUCUCAGUUCGGAUCGGAGUCUGCAACUCGACUCUGUGAAGUUGGAUUCGCUAGUAA